RNAcentral lists this ribosomal RNA (502 nucleotides) under uncultured Glomeromycotina. RNAcentral describes it as "partial small subunit ribosomal RNA". It matches the Rfam family "Eukaryotic small subunit ribosomal RNA", at positions 591 to 1092 of the family's 1831-position model. Lineage: Eukaryota; Fungi; Glomeromycota. The record is from RNAcentral.
CCAAUAGCGUAUAUUAAAGUUGUUGCAGUUAAAAAGCUCGUAGUUGAACUUCGGGGUUCACCCAUUGGUCAGGCUUAAUUGUCUGCACUGGUGAGAUGAAUCUCUACCUUCUGAGGAACUUUCAUGCCAUUUAUUUGGUGUGAUUGGAAAUCAGGACUGUUACUUUGAAAAAAUUAGAGUGUUUAAAGCAGGCUAACGUCUGAAUACAUUAGCAUGGAAUAAUGAAAUAGGACGGACUGAUUCUAUUUCGUUGGUUUCUAGGAUCACCGUAAUGAUUAAUAGGGAUAGUUGGGGGCAUUAGUAUUCAAUUGUCAGAGGUGAAAUUCUUGGAUUUAUUGAAGACUAACUACUGCGAAAGCAUUUGCCAAGGAUGUUUUCAUUAAUCAAGAACGAAAGUUAGGGGAUCGAAGACGAUCAGAUACCGUCGUAGUCUUAACCAUAAACUAUGCCGACUAGGGAUCGGACGAAGUUAAUUUUAUAAUGACGCGUUCGGCACCUUACG